This 253-nucleotide ribosomal RNA is filed under the name uncultured bacterium. Its description in RNAcentral is "partial 16S ribosomal RNA". It matches the Rfam family "Bacterial small subunit ribosomal RNA", at positions 524 to 776 of the family's 1533-position model. The record is from RNAcentral.
UACGAAGGGGGCUAGCGUUGUUCGGAAUUACUAGGCGUAAAGCGCGCGCAGGCGGCUAUCCAAGUCAGUGGUGAAAGCCCGGAGCUCAACUCCGGAACUGCCAUUGAAACUGUUUAGCUUGAGGAUGAGAGAGGUGAGUGGAAUUCCCAGUGUAGAGGUGAAAUUCGUAGAUAUUGGGAAGAACACCGGUGGCGAAGGCGGCUCACUGGCUCAUUACUGACGCUCAGGCGCGAUAGCGUGGGGAUCAAACAGG